Molecule: ribosomal RNA, 591 nt
Filed under: Claxtonia wendti
Lineage: Eukaryota; Metazoa; Tardigrada; Heterotardigrada; Echiniscoidea; Echiniscidae
Description: partial 28S ribosomal RNA
Rfam family: Eukaryotic large subunit ribosomal RNA
Source: RNAcentral
GGCGAUAUGCUUUGAAGGCUUAGCGGCGUGAGCCGGGCUGGAGCUGUCCUCCGUGCAGAUCUUGGUGGUAGUAGCAAAUACCCAAGCGAGAACCUUGAGGACUGAAGUGGAGAAGGCUUCCAUGUGAACAGCAGUUGAACAUGGGUCAGUCGAUCCUAAGACAUCGGCGAAGGCCGUUCAGAAGCGGUGUCGGUUAUGUGGCAGUGUGCUGUUUCGGCAGUAUGCUGUCCGGCUAUGAGCGCUCGUUCGUUUAUAGUCGCCGCACCUGUCGAAAGGGAAUUGGAUUAAUAUUUCCAAACCUAACAGCGGAGAUUGGUUGUUCAUUUGGCUGCACGGGCCUUGUGCUCGUUGUAGUCGGGGCAACGCGCUGCGGUAACGCAAACGAACUCGAACACGCUGACUGGAGUCCCGGGAAGAGUUGUCUUUUCUUCAUAAGGAGUCGACUCCAUGGAAUUGGUUCAGCCAGAGAUAUGGAGAUGGCGUCCGAAAAGCAUUGCGCUUCUUGCAAUGUCCGGUGCAGUUCAACCGGCCCAUGAAAAUUCGAGGGAGAGAAUGAUUUUCGUGUUAGAUCGUACCCAUAUCCGCAGCAGG